Molecule: ribosomal RNA, 492 nt
Filed under: uncultured bacterium
Lineage: Bacteria
Description: partial 16S ribosomal RNA
Rfam family: Bacterial small subunit ribosomal RNA
Source: RNAcentral
AGUGAACGCUGGCGGUAGGCCUAACACAUGCAAGUCGAACGGCAGCACAGUAAGAGCUUGCUCUUACGGGUGGCGAGUGGCGGACGGGUGAGGAAUACAUCGGAAUCUACUUUUUCGUGGGGGAUAACGUAGGGAAACUUACGCUAAUACCGCAUACGACCUACGGGUGAAAGCAGGGGAUCUUCGGACCUUGCGCGAUUGAAUGAGCCGAUGUCGGAUUAGCUAGUUGGCGGGGUAAAGGCCCACCAAGGCGACGAUCCGUAGCUGGUCUGAGAGGAUGAUCAGCCACACUGGAACUGAGACACGGUCCAGACUCCUACAGGAGGCAGCAGUGGGGAAUAUUGGACGAUGGGCGCGAGCCUGAUCCAGCCAUACCGCGUGGGUGAAGAAGGCCUUCGGGUUGUAAAGCCCUGUUGUUGGGAAAGAAAAGCAGCAGGUUAAUACCCCGCUGUUCUGACGGUACCCAAAGAAUAAGCACCGGCUAACUUCGUG